CACGUAGGGUGCGAGCGUUGUCCGGAAUUAUUGGGCGUAAAGCGCACGUAGGCGGCUUGGCAAGUCGGAUGUGAAAUCCCUCGGCUCAACCAAGGAAGUGCAUCCGAAACUGCCGAGCUUGAGUACUUAAGAGGAUCGCGGAAUUCCCGGUGUAGAGGUGAAAUUCGUAGAUAUCGGGAGGAACACCAGUGGCGAAGGCGGCGAUCUGGGAAGAUACUGACGCUGAGGUGCGAAAGCGUGGGGAGCAAACAGG
Molecule: ribosomal RNA, 253 nt
Filed under: uncultured bacterium
Lineage: Bacteria
Description: partial 16S ribosomal RNA
Rfam family: Bacterial small subunit ribosomal RNA
Source: RNAcentral